RNAcentral lists this ribosomal RNA (351 nucleotides) under Craterostigmus tasmanianus. Its description in RNAcentral is "eukaryotic LSU rRNA". It matches the Rfam family "Eukaryotic large subunit ribosomal RNA", at positions 664 to 959 of the family's 3401-position model. Lineage: Eukaryota; Metazoa; Arthropoda; Chilopoda; Craterostigmomorpha; Craterostigmidae. The record is from RNAcentral.
GACCAAGGAGUCUAACAUGUGCGCGAGUCGUAGGGUUACGCUCAAAGCCCGAAGGCGCAAUGAAAGUGAAGGUCGGCCUCGAUUGCCGUUACCUAGGCGGGAUCCGUUCGGGCUUACCGGUCGUUCGCGGCUGAGCCCGGCGGCGCACCGCCGGCCCGUCUCGACCGCAUCGCCGGUGAGGCGGAGCGAGAGCGUACACGUUGGGACCCGAAAGAUGGUGAACUAUGCCCGGGCAGGACGAAGCCAGAGGAAACUCUGGUGGAGGUCCGUAGCGAUUCUGACGUGCAAAUCGAUCGUCGGACCUGGGUAUAGGGGCGAAAGACUAAUCGAACCUUCUAGUAGCUGGUUCCU